GUCUGUAAUGGCCUAUAUAUGUACUCGACUGUACUGACUUUUACUCGACCAGUCUGAAUUGGUCUGACUUUUACUUGACAUUACUCGACCCCAGUCUGAAACAUACUCGACUGUACUGAAUCGUACUUGACCCUUAUCUUUGCCGUUGACAAUAGUCUGAACUAUUACUCGACCAGUCUGAAACAGUCUUAACCCAUUCUUGAUCUGUACUCGACCUAUUUUUC
Molecule: long non-coding RNA, 224 nt
Filed under: Mytilus galloprovincialis (Mediterranean mussel)
Lineage: Eukaryota; Metazoa; Mollusca; Bivalvia; Mytilida; Mytilidae
Source: RNAcentral